RNAcentral lists this unclassified non-coding RNA (240 nucleotides) under soil metagenome. RNAcentral describes it as "partial contains 5.8S ribosomal RNA, internal transcribed spacer 2, and large subunit ribosomal RNA". The record is from RNAcentral.
AACGCACGAGACCUGCGGACCUGCGGAAGGAUCAUUACUGAGUAACGCGGUCUUUUAGACCCGGUACCCGCCCUAUGUCAUAUGUUGGACGAGGUCGUCUUUAGGGGCGGCCUCCGACCCCACUUCCCGGGAAGCGUUGCGCCUCAUCAGGUCUAGGCCUUGACGAGGAUGGGACCGCCCGGGGUCUUUUUCAAACCCUUUGUAAGAAAUCUGAAGUCUGAAGCGAAAGCUUAAAAUAAA